CCUACGGGAGGCAGCAGUGGGGGAUAUUGCACAAUGGGGGGAACCCUGAUGCAGCGACGCCGCGUGAGUGAAGAAGCGCCUCGGCGCGUAAAGCCCUGUCAGCAGGGAAGAGAAUGACGGUACCUGACGAAGAAGCCCCGGCUAACUACGUGCCAGCAGCCGCGGUAAUACGUAGGGGGCAAGCGUUAUCCGGAUUUACUGGGUGUAAAGGGAGCGCAGACGGCGGUGCAAGCCAGGAGUGAAAGCCCGGGGCUCAACCCCGGGACGGCUAUUGGAACUGGGUGGCUGGAGUGCAGGAGGGGCAGGCAGAAUUCCUGGUGUAGCGGUGAAAUGCGUAGAUAUCAGGAGGAACACCGGUGGCGAAGGCGGCUUGCUGGACUGUAACUGACGUUGAGGCUCGAAAGCGUGGGGAGCAAACAGGAUUAGAUACCCGGGUAGUC
RNAcentral lists this ribosomal RNA (440 nucleotides) under uncultured bacterium. RNAcentral describes it as "partial 16S ribosomal RNA". It matches the Rfam family "Bacterial small subunit ribosomal RNA", at positions 338 to 795 of the family's 1533-position model. The record is from RNAcentral.